Long non-coding RNA from Hibiscus syriacus, 403 nucleotides. RefSeq lists it as uncharacterized. The transcript is spliced from 3 exons. The record is from RefSeq and is a predicted model, not a curated record. NCBI's taxonomy places the organism in Eukaryota, Viridiplantae, Streptophyta, Magnoliopsida, Malvales, Malvaceae.
GAUUUGUCACAACAUGUUCAGAUGGCAAUGGAGAAUAUGCUUAAGAUGAUAAAUGAAAUUGAUCAAAACUCUUCGGGAAUACUGGAAGAUGUAGAGAAGUGCAAAGACUCAGCUCUUGAAAGGAAGAAAAGUUUGGAGGAAGAGAAGGAACGGUUCCAGAAAGCUGCAUUCACCGUUUUGGACAUGCUGAAUAGCAGAGAAUGAAAACUAAUUUUGUCGAAGGUAAUAGAAUAAUAAGAGUCAAAUCCGUCAUCUUAGAGAAAUCGAGGCCAAAGAGAGCAGUUUACUUGUAAACCUAUCACUAGCCCGAGACAUUAUCUUUGAGGCUAUUGGUUUGAUACAGAGGUGAAGGACUAUGUUUUUACUAUAAUGUCAUCAUAUUUCAGAUUGAUAAUCAAAUAAG